RNAcentral lists this long non-coding RNA (282 nucleotides) under Carica papaya (papaya). RNAcentral describes it as "long non-coding RNA (CPAP_LNC002250)". The record is from RNAcentral. Lineage: Eukaryota; Viridiplantae; Streptophyta; Magnoliopsida; Brassicales; Caricaceae.
UGAUCCCUGCCGCAGUGCUGGCAGAUCUUCCCACGUGCUGCCCCCAUAGCCUGAGGAGGAGCCUGAACGGCAGGCCUGGGCCUCUUACUGGGUUGGACAGGCAUGGUAGGCGCUGGCCUGCGGAGCGGGGCUGAGGGUCGGGGACUUCCCGCUAGCUGAGGGCGGGUGUCGAAGCUCCUUUCUAUGAUCUGCGCCUUUGCCAGGACUGCCGAAUAUGUCUCGAGCUCCAUCACCAAUAAGUGCUGUCUGAUCGCCGGGCGGAGGCCCCACUGGAAUUUCCUG